Molecule: ribosomal RNA, 229 nt
Filed under: uncultured bacterium
Lineage: Bacteria
Description: partial 16S ribosomal RNA
Rfam family: Bacterial small subunit ribosomal RNA
Source: RNAcentral
CGGGGUGAGUAAUGCUUGGGAAUCUAGCUUAUGGAGGGGGAUAACUACGGGAAGCUGUAGCUAAUACCGCGUAAUAUCGAAAGAUUAAAGUGUGGGACCUUCGGGCCACAUGCCAUAGGAUGAGCCCAAGUGGGAUUAGGUGGUUGGUGAGGUAAAGGCUCACCGAGCCGACGAUCUCUAGCUGGUCUGAGAGGAUGACCAGCCACACUGGGACUGAGACACGGCCCAG